GAGGCGCCGCGUGCGGUGGGCGGGCCGCGGUGUCCUGCAGGGUCGGCAGUACGUUCGGGCUGCGGGCGCUGCGAGCCUCGUGGGCUCGGCGUCUCCUGUUCAAUUCCGCUCGGGGCUGUAGCUCGUGCCUUGCCUACCCAGCCGGACCAUGGCUUCAGCCGUGGAGGAGCUACAGAAAGAUCUAGAAGAGGUGAAGGUUCUGCUGGAAAAGGCCACUAGAAAGAGAGUACGUGAUACUCUUACAGCUGAAAAAUCCAAGAUUGAGACAGAAAUCAAGAACAAAAUGCAGCAGAAAUCACCGAGGAAAACAGAACUUCUUGACAAUGAAAAGCCAGCUGCCAUGGUUGCUCCCAUUACAACGGGAUACACAGUGAAAAUCAGUAAUUAUGGAUGGGAUCAGUCGGAUAAGUUUGUGAAAAUCUACAUUACCUUAACUGGAGUCCAUCAAGCCCCCACGGAGAAUGUGCAGGUGCGCUUCACAGACAGGUCGUUUGAUCUUCUGGUGAAGAAUCUAAAUGGGAAGAAUUACUCCAUGAUUGUGAACAAUCUCUUGAAACCCAUCUCUGUGGAAGGCAGUUCAAAAAAAGUCAAGACAGAUACAGUGAUUAUCUUAUGUAGAAAGAAAGUAGAAAACACACGGUGGGAUUACCUGACUCAGGUUGAAAAAGAGUGCAAAGAGAAAGAAAAGCCCUCCUAUGACACUGAAACAGAUCCUAGUGAGGGAUUGAUGAAUGUUCUAAAGAAAAUUUAUGAAGAUGGAGAUGAUGAUAUGAAGCGAACCAUUAAUAAAGCCUGGGUACAAUCAAGAGAGAAGCAAGCCAAAGGAGACACAGAAUUUUGAGACUUUAAAGUUCUUUUGGGAACUGUGAUGUGGAAAUGGUGAUGUUUCCAAUAAGGACAUGUUGGUUUGCAUUUUUUACAAAAAGAAGGCAAGACCCUCUACCAGCAAAAAGAUUACAACUCGCUUUAUUGCGAUACUUUAUUUCGGUGGUCUGGAACCAAGCCUGCAAUAUCUCCAAGGACUUCCAGUACUAUGUUGAAUAGGAGUGUUAAGAAGGGGCAUCCUGAUCUUGGAGGAAAAGCUUCCAACCUUUCACUGUUGAGUAUAUUAGCUGUGGGCUGCUUAUGCUGAGGUAUGUUCCUUCUAUACCUAAGUUGGUGAGUUUUUAUCAUGAAAGGAUGCUGAAUUUUGUAGAACGCUUUUUCUGCAUCCAUUGAGAUCAUAUAAUCUUAAUCUUUCAUUCUAUGUAUAACUGUGGUAUAUCACAUUUAUUUCUUUGCAUGUUGAACUGUCCUUGCAUACCAGGCACAAAUCCCACUUGAUCAUGGUGUAUGAUCCUUUUACUAUGCUAUUGAAUUUGUUUUGCUAAUAUUUUGUUGAGAACUUUUGCAUCUAUAAUCAUCAGGGAUAUGAGCCUGUAGCCUUCUCUUCUUGUAGUGUCCUUAUCUGGAUCUACUAUCAGGGUAAUUCCUGCCUCAUAAAAUAGAUGUGGGUGUGUUCCCUCCUU
This is an RNA transcript of Miniopterus natalensis, 1508 nucleotides long. It is a transcript of the gene named calcyclin binding protein, with no coding region annotated. NCBI's taxonomy places the organism in Eukaryota, Metazoa, Chordata, Mammalia, Chiroptera, Miniopteridae. The record is from RefSeq and is a predicted model, not a curated record.